Molecule: transfer RNA, 85 nt
Filed under: Felis catus (domestic cat)
Lineage: Eukaryota; Metazoa; Chordata; Mammalia; Carnivora; Felidae
Rfam family: tRNA
About the family: Transfer RNA (tRNA) molecules are approximately 80 nucleotides in length. Their secondary structure includes four short double-helical elements and three loops (D, anti-codon, and T loops).
Source: Rfam by way of RNAcentral
GCCUGGGUGGCUCAGUCGGUUGAGCAUCCGACUUCGGCUCAGGUCACGAUCUCACAGCUCGUGGGUUCAAGCCCCGCGUUGGGCU